Molecule: ribosomal RNA, 632 nt
Filed under: uncultured bacterium
Lineage: Bacteria
Description: bacterial SSU rRNA
Rfam family: Bacterial small subunit ribosomal RNA
Source: RNAcentral
AGUUUGAUCCUGGCUCAGGAUGAACGCUGGCGGCGUGCUUAACACAUGCAAGUCGAACGAAGCACUGGAGCGGAAUCCCUUCGGGGAGGAAGCGCCUUUGACUGAGUGGCGGACGGGUGAGUAACGCGUGGGUAACCUGCCCCAUACAGGGGGAUAACAGCCGGAAACGGCUGCUAAUACCGCAUGCACAUGCGGAGGCGCAUGCCUCUGUAUGGAAAGCUUUGGCGGUAUGGGAUGGGCCCGCGUCUGAUUAGGCAGUUGGCGGGGUAACGGCCCACCAAACCAACGAUCAGUAGCCGGCCUGAGAGGGCGACCGGCCACAUUGGGACUGAGACACGGCCCAAACUCCUACGGGAGGCAGCAGUGGGGAAUAUUGCACAAUGGGGGAAACCCUGAUGCAGCGACGCCGCGUGGGUGAAGAAGUAUUUCGGUAUGUAAAGCCCUAUCAGCAGGGAAGAAGAAUGACGGUACCUGACUAAGAAGCACCGGCUAAAUACGUGCCAGCAGCCGCGGUAAUACGUAUGGUGCAAGCGUUAUCCGGAUUUACUGGGUGUAAAGGGAGCGCAGGCGGCACGCUAAGCCUGAUGUGAAAACCCGCGGCCCAACCGCGGGAGUGCAUUGGGAACUGGCGA